UACGGGGGGGGCAAGCGUUGUUCGGAAUUACUGGGCGUAAAGGGCUCGUAGGCGGCCAACUAAGUCAGACGUGAAAUCCCUCGGCUUAACCUGGGAACUGCAUCCGAUACUGGAUGGCUUGAAUCCGGGAGAGGGAUGCAGAAUUCCAGGUGUAGCGGUGAAAUGCGUAGAUAUCUGGAGGAAUACCGGUGGCGAAGGCGGCAUCCUGGACCGGCAUUGACGCUGAGGGAGCGAAAGCCAGGGGAGCAAACGGG
This 254-nucleotide ribosomal RNA is filed under the name uncultured bacterium. RNAcentral's name for it is "partial 16S ribosomal RNA". It matches the Rfam family "Bacterial small subunit ribosomal RNA", at positions 524 to 776 of the family's 1533-position model. The record is from RNAcentral.